GCCCAUUCCUUGCUGGAUGACAUUUUCCAGAUUGGAACAAAAAACGCAACUGCAGAACUUCUGGGACAGCUUAACCUCUUUGUCUCCAAGUUGACAGGAACAUCCACUGGAUUCACGGCCAUUAACUUCUUUGUCAUCACAAACGAGUUCCUUCUGACUUUGGGUGGACUGUUCAUCACCUACUUCUUCCUCCUGCUGCAAUUCAAGAUAUAGACUGACACUGGGUUGUCCUCAUGUGGAUAGAUUCAUACACACCAAGUGUCCUGUCCCAAAAAUGGAGACUUACUCUAUGCCACAGUAACGACAAUUGCAGCUGUAAGAUCACCAAGAUCAGUGAAAACUACCACAGCUGGCAAGGCCCACUUACAGUUUCACUCUGAUGAAAAGAUAAAAUCUCCUCUGGAAAUAAAAAAUGACAUCAGUUCUCAACCUUUGGCAUUGUA
Haliotis rufescens (red abalone) is the source of this 443-nucleotide long non-coding RNA. RefSeq lists it as uncharacterized. The record is from RefSeq and is a predicted model, not a curated record. NCBI's taxonomy places the organism in Eukaryota, Metazoa, Mollusca, Gastropoda, Lepetellida, Haliotidae. The transcript has 3 exons.